This 253-nucleotide ribosomal RNA is filed under the name uncultured bacterium. RNAcentral describes it as "partial 16S ribosomal RNA". It matches the Rfam family "Bacterial small subunit ribosomal RNA", at positions 524 to 776 of the family's 1533-position model. The record is from RNAcentral.
CACGUAGGACGCAAGCGUUAUCCGGAUUUACUGGGUUUAAAGGGUGCGUAGGUGGGUAGGUAAGUCAGUGGUGAAAUCUUCGAGCUUAACUCGGAAACUGCCAUUGAUACUAUUUAUCUUGAAUACUCUGGAGGUAAGCGGAAUAUGUCAUGUAGCGGUGAAAUGCUUAGAUAUGACAUAGAACACCAAUUGCGAAGGCAGCUUACUACAUAGUUAUUGACACUGAGGCACGAAAGCGUGGGGAUCAAACAGG